This 464-nucleotide ribosomal RNA is filed under the name uncultured bacterium. RNAcentral describes it as "partial 16S ribosomal RNA". It matches the Rfam family "Bacterial small subunit ribosomal RNA", at positions 29 to 507 of the family's 1533-position model. The record is from RNAcentral.
ACGCACGCUGGCGGCGUGCUUAACACAUGCAAGUCGAACGGAAAGGCCCUGCUUGCAGGGUACUCGAGUGGCGAACGGGUGAGUAACACGUGGGUGAUCUGCCCUGCACUUCGGGAUAAGCCUGGGAAACUGGGUCUAAUACCGGAUAGGAGCCAUUUUUAGUGUGAUGGUUGGAAAGUUUUUUCGGUGUAGGAUGAGCUCGCGGCCUAUCAGCUUGUUGGUGGGGUAAUGGCCUACCAAGGCGGCGACGGGUAGCCGGCCUGAGAGGGUGGACGGCCACAUUGGGACUGAGAUACGGCCCAGACUCCUACGGGAGGCAGCAGUGGGGAAUAUUGCACAAUGGGCGCAAGCCUGAUGCAGCGACGCCGCGUGGGGGAUGACGGCCUUCGGGUUGUAAACUCCUUUCGCUAGGGACGAAGCUUUUUGUGACGGUACCUAGAUAAGAAGCACCGGCUAACUACGUG